AUACGGAGGAUGCGAGCGUUAUCCGGAUUUAUUGGGUUUAAAGGGAGCGUAGGCGGGAGCUUAAGUCAGCGGUUAAAUGGUGCGGCUCAACCGUGCCCUGCCGUUGAAACUGGGUUUCUUGAGAGUGCAAGAGGCGGAUGGAAUUCAUGGUGUAGCGGUGAAAUGCUUAGCUAUCAUGAAGAACUCCGAUUGCGAAGGCAGUCCGCUGGGGCACGUCUGACGCUGAUACUCGAAGGUGCGGGAAUCAAACAGGAUUAGAUACCCUGGUAGUCCGCACGGUAAACGAUGAUUACCCGCUGUCGGCGGUAGACAGUCGGCGGCCAAGCGAAAGCGAUAAGUAAUCCACCUGGGGAGUACGCCGGCAACGGUGAAACUCAAAUGAAUUGACGGGG
RNAcentral lists this ribosomal RNA (392 nucleotides) under uncultured bacterium. RNAcentral's name for it is "partial 16S ribosomal RNA". It matches the Rfam family "Bacterial small subunit ribosomal RNA", at positions 523 to 918 of the family's 1533-position model. The record is from RNAcentral.